GGCCCCGUGGACAUUCUCGGAAAGUCGCUCGCCUAGCAAAGCGUGAGAUCCCGGUUCGAAUCCGGGCGAGGCCU
Molecule: transfer RNA, 74 nt
Filed under: Acidobacteriota bacterium
Lineage: Bacteria; Pseudomonadati; Acidobacteriota
Description: tRNA-OTHER
Rfam family: tRNA
About the family: Transfer RNA (tRNA) molecules are approximately 80 nucleotides in length. Their secondary structure includes four short double-helical elements and three loops (D, anti-codon, and T loops). Further hydrogen bonds mediate the characteristic L-shaped molecular structure. tRNAs have two regions of fundamental functional importance: the anti-codon, which is responsible for specific mRNA codon recognition, and the 3' end, to which the tRNAs corresponding amino acid is attached (by aminoacyl-tRNA synthetases). tRNAs cope with the degeneracy of the genetic code in two manners: having more than one tRNA (with a specific anti-codon) for a particular amino acid; and 'wobble' base-pairing, i.e. permitting non-standard base-pairing at the 3rd anti-codon position.
Source: RNAcentral